GAUUGAACGCUGGCGGCAGGCUUAACACAUGCAAGUCGAGCGGAGAGAGGUAGCUUGCUACUGAUCUUAGCGGCGGACGGGUGAGUAAUGCUUAGGAAUCUGCCUAUUAGUGGGGGACAACAUUUCGAAAGGAAUGCUAAUACCGCAUACGUCCUACGGGAGAAAGCAGGGGAUCUUCGGACCUUGCGCUAAUAGAUGAGCCUAAGUCGGAUUAGCUAGUUGGUGGGGUAAAGGCCUACCAAGGCGACGAUCUGUAGCGGGUCUGAGAGGAUGAUCCGCCACACUGGGACUGAGACACGGCCCAGACUCCUACGGGAGGCAGCAGUGGGGAAUAUUGGACAAUGGGCGCAAGCCUGAUCCAGCCAUGCCGCGUGUGUGAAGAAGGCCUUAUGGUUGUAAAGCACUUUAAGCGAGGAGGAGGCUACUUUAGAUAAUACCUAGAGAUAGUGGACGUUACUCGCAGAAUAAGCACCGGCUAACUCUGUGCCAGCAGCCGCGGUAAUACAGAGGGUGCAAGCGUUAAUCGGAUUUACUGGGCGUAAAGCGCGCGUAGGCGGCUAAUUAAGUCAAAUGUGAAAUCCCCGAGCUUAACUUGGGAAUUGCAUUCGAUACUGGUUAGCUAGAGUGUGGGAGAGGAUGGUAGAAUUCCAGGUGUAGCGGUGAAAUGCGUAGAGAUCUGGAGGAAUACCGAUGGCGAAGGCAGCCAUCUGGCCUAACACUGACGCUGAGGUGCGAAAGCAUGGGGAGCAAACAGGAUUAGAUACCCUGGUAGUCCAUGCCGUAAACGAUGUCUACUAGCCGUUGGGGCCUUUGAGGCUUUAGUGGCGCAGCUAACGCGAUAAGUAGACCGCCUGGGGAGUACGGUCGCAAGACUAAAACUCAAAUGAAUUGACGGGGGCCCGCACAAGCGGUGGAGCAUGUGGUUUAAUUCGAUGCAACGCGAAGAACCUUACCUGGCCUUGACAUAGUAAGAACUUUCCAGAGAUGGAUUGGUGCCUUCGGGAACUUACAUACAGGUGCUGCAUGGCUGUCGUCAGCUCGUGUCGUGAGAUGUUNGGGUUAAGUCCCGCAACGAGCGCAACCCUUUUCCUUAUUUGCCAGCGAGUAAUGUCGGGAACUUUAAGGAUACUGCCAGUGACAAACUGGAGGAAGGCGGGGACGACGUCAAGUCAUCAUGGCCCUUACGGCCAGGGCUACACACGUGCUACAAUGGUCGGUACAAAGGGUUGCUACCUAGCGAUAGGAUGCUAAUCUCAAAAAGCCGAUCGUAGUCCGGAUUGGAGUCUGCAACUCGACUCCAUGAAGUCGGAAUCGCUAGUAAUCGCGGAUCAGAAUGCCGCGGUGAAUACGUUCCCGGGCCUUGUACACACCGCCCGUCACACCAUGGGGAGUUUGUUGCACCAGAAGUAGCUAGCCUAACUGCAAAGAGGGCGGUUACCACGGUGUGG
RNAcentral lists this ribosomal RNA (1448 nucleotides) under Acinetobacter sp. RNAcentral's name for it is "bacterial SSU rRNA". It matches the Rfam family "Bacterial small subunit ribosomal RNA". The record is from RNAcentral. Lineage: Bacteria; Pseudomonadati; Pseudomonadota; Gammaproteobacteria; Moraxellales; Moraxellaceae.